RNAcentral lists this unclassified non-coding RNA (308 nucleotides) under Melitaea cinxia (Glanville fritillary). RNAcentral describes it as "misc RNA ENSMCXG00005019747.1". The stretch from base 1 to 68 matches the Rfam family "tRNA". The record is from RNAcentral. Lineage: Eukaryota; Metazoa; Arthropoda; Insecta; Lepidoptera; Nymphalidae.
CAUAGCUUAAUUGGCUAGAGCGUCGACACGGUAUGUCGAAGACGCGGGUUCGAAUCCCGCUGGAGCGGUCAAUUUUUGAUAUGAUAUUCAAAAAUGUUUAGAAUUCCUAAUUGUGGGUAACACAAAAAUAAAAAUCGUACAUAUUAAAAAUAGCAUGGUGUCGUCUCCUGUCAAAGAUUUUCAUUGUAAUAUGAAACUUUGAAUAGUUACGAGUCUCUGUAAAGAACUCACUAUAGACGGCGCCACGGUUCGCUUAAACCGAAAGUAAAAAUCAUCAUAUCAAAAGUUUCGACACAGUUGAAGGCUUU